This 600-nucleotide long non-coding RNA is filed under the name Linum usitatissimum (flax). Its description in RNAcentral is "long non-coding RNA (LUSI_LNC006861)". The record is from RNAcentral. Lineage: Eukaryota; Viridiplantae; Streptophyta; Magnoliopsida; Malpighiales; Linaceae.
UUCAUUCUAUCUCUUAGUCUAGUUGGUUUCAACCCAAGGAUUCAUUCGCUAUAAGUAAAUAGGGGCUAUCCCCGGGGGAUUUUUAGGAAUAUCUCCAUUGUUGAUGUAGUUACUAUUCUCUCUUUUUUUAUGGCUCAUUGCCCAGAUGUGCUACUAAGCGAAGGAAAGUAGGAAUUCCGCCCAUGACUGGGCUCCUUCUCUUCCAAGCGCAUGUACCAAGAAAAGUAGAGAAUUUACCUCCUCUAUUAUGGAUCGGUCGAGCUACUUCGUAGGUUUAAAUUCGACCGAAAGGAGAGGUUUAGAAUAUACUCGACCAAUAGGGUUCAGAAAAAGCUACUUCGUAGGUUUAAAUUCAACCGAAAGGAGAGGUUUAGAAUAUACUCGACCAAUAGGGUUCAGAAAGAGCUCGACCAAUAGGGAGAGGAGGGACACAUUCGUUUGAGUUGCUUUCUCUCCUUGGUAAAGGUUUCACUUCGAAGCAGAAGGAUCAUGCUACGUCGGGUAUCCCCUUCUUUAUGAGCUACUGAGCGAAAGUCAAUACUCACACAACUGAAAGAGUGGGUUACGAGAAAGACUCAAUAGCUGAAUUAAUUGAUGCGU